This 433-nucleotide ribosomal RNA is filed under the name uncultured bacterium. RNAcentral's name for it is "bacterial SSU rRNA". It matches the Rfam family "Bacterial small subunit ribosomal RNA", at positions 29 to 507 of the family's 1533-position model. The record is from RNAcentral.
AAUGAACGCUGGCGGCAGGCCUAACACAUGCAAGUCGAGCGAGGACUUCGGUCCUAGCGGCGGACGGGUGAGUAACGCGUGGGAAUAUGCCCUUUGGUACGGAAUAGCCUCGGGAAACUGGGAGUAAUACCGUAUGUGCCCUUCGGGGGAAAGAUUUAUCGCCAAAGGAUUAGCCCGCGUUGGAUUAGGUAGUUGGUGGGGUAAUGGCCUACCAAGCCGACGAUCCAUAGCUGGUUUGAGAGGAUGAUCAGCCACACUGGGACUGAGACACGGCCCAGACUCCUAUGGGAGGCAGCAGUGGGGAAUCUUAGACAAUGGGCGCAAGCCUGAUCUAGCCAUGCCGCGUGAUCGAUGAAGGCCUUAGGGUUGUAAAGAUCUUUCAGAUGGGAAGAUAAUGACUGUACCAUCAGAAGAAGCCCCGGCUAACUCCGUG